GAUGAACGCUGGCGGCGUGCUUAACACAUGCAAGUCGAACGGAGGACCCUUGACGGAGUUUUCGGACAACGGAUAGGAAUCCUUAGUGGCGGACGGGUGAGUAACGCGUGAGGAACCUGCCUUGGAGAGGGGAAUAACACAGAGAAAUUUGUGCUAAUACCGCAUGAUGCAGUUGGGUCGCAUGGCUCUGACUGCCAAAGAUUUAUCGCUCUGAGAUGGCCUCGCGUCUGAUUAGCUAGUUGGUAGGGUAACGGCCUACCAAGGCGACGAUCAGUAGCCGGACUGAGGGGUUGACCAGCCACAUUGGGACUGAGACACGGCCCAGACUCCUACGGGAGGCAGCAGUGGGGAAUAUUGGGCAAUGGGCGCAAGCCUGACCCAGCAACGCCGCGUGAAGGAAGAAGGCUUUCGGGUUGUAAACUUCUUUUAUGAGGGACGAAGGAAGUGACGGUACCUCAUGAAUAAGCUCCGGCUAACUACGUGCCAGCAGCCGCGGUAA
This 499-nucleotide ribosomal RNA is filed under the name uncultured bacterium. Its description in RNAcentral is "partial 16S ribosomal RNA". It matches the Rfam family "Bacterial small subunit ribosomal RNA", at positions 28 to 523 of the family's 1533-position model. The record is from RNAcentral.